ACGGUGGAGUCGGUCAGUUCUGGACCCAUCGACGACCCUUUGCGUGCACGCACGCUCCCAACGAGACCUCAGGUCAGGCGGGGCUACCCGCUGAGUUUAA
Molecule: unclassified non-coding RNA, 100 nt
Filed under: uncultured fungus
Lineage: Eukaryota; Fungi
Description: sequence contains ITS1
Source: RNAcentral